GCUGUGGUCCAGACAGUCGCUUGCCGGAAACGGCGAGAGGAAAGUCCGGGCUCCGUAGAGCAGGAGGGUUGCUAACGGCAACCGGGCGGGCUUCAAGACCCGUCCAGGGAAAGUGGCACAGAGAACAGACCGCCUGCCUUGUGCAGCGGGGCGCGACGAGGGCCCGAAACUCGCGCGUUCGGCCGCGGCUCGAAAGAGCGCAGGUAAGGGUGAAAAGGUGGGGUAAGAGCCCACCGCGCUCCUGGAGACAGGUGCGGCACGCCAAACCCCCUCCGGAGCAAGGCCAAAUAGGGACCAAGGGACUGCUCAUCCCGCUGCGAAUGUGUCGCGAGAGGUCCGGGUAGGCUGCUGGAGCUGCGGGGCAACCCGCCGCCUAGACGAAUGACUGUCCGCCUGAAAGGGCGAACAAAACCCGGCUUACAGGAUCACAAAGACG
RNAcentral lists this RNase P RNA (436 nucleotides) under Planctomycetota bacterium. RNAcentral describes it as "Planctomycetes bacterium (activated sludge metagenome) RNase P RNA component class A". It matches the Rfam family "Bacterial RNase P class A". Rfam says of the family: Ribonuclease P (RNase P) is a ubiquitous endoribonuclease, found in archaea, bacteria and eukarya as well as chloroplasts and mitochondria. Its best characterised activity is the generation of mature 5'-ends of tRNAs by cleaving the 5'-leader elements of precursor-tRNAs. The record is from RNAcentral. Lineage: Bacteria; Pseudomonadati; Planctomycetota.